This is a non-coding RNA of Ictidomys tridecemlineatus (thirteen-lined ground squirrel), 275 nucleotides long. Lineage: Eukaryota; Metazoa; Chordata; Mammalia; Rodentia; Sciuridae. The record is from Rfam.
ACACAAGAGAGAAAUCUGGCUGUGACAUCUGUUACCCCACGGUCACCAGGGUUAAUUUAGCAGAUCUAGCUGGCUAGCUGGGUGUCCUUUUUCCCACUUCUCUAUAUGCAUCCCUCCUGAAGCUGUGUGAUCAAAGAGGGUGGCCCACCCUUGUUCUUUAGUCAAGGAUAUGCAAGUAGGUGUGCUUCCCUGCUAGAACUUCCAAACAAGCUCUCAAAGUUGCUGCUGGCAUAAGCAUAUGGGAACAGCAAAAAUAAUAAUGGAUCUUCCUGCCA